This is a long non-coding RNA of Numida meleagris (helmeted guineafowl), 1495 nucleotides long. RefSeq lists it as uncharacterized. The transcript is spliced from 3 exons. The record is from RefSeq and is a predicted model, not a curated record. Lineage: Eukaryota; Metazoa; Chordata; Aves; Galliformes; Numididae.
UCAGCCGGUUCUCAGUCCACCUCACCGUUCACUCAUUUAUCCCACAUUUUCUAAGUUUCAGAACAAGGAUGCCGUGGGAGACGGUGUCAAACACCUUGCUGAAGUCAAAGUACACAACAUAUACUGCUCUCCCCCCCAUCUACCCAGUCAGUGAUGACAUCACAGAAGGCUAUUAGGUUGGUCAAGUAUGAUUUCCGCUUGGUGAUUCCGUGCUGACUACUCCUGAUAACCUUCUUCUCUUCCGAUUGCUUGGAGAUGGCAUCCAGAAGAACUUGUUCCAACACCUUUUAGCUCGGUGGUGACCCUCACCCAGAGCAUCUGCCAGACUGCAAUCUAUACUCUGCCCCGACAACCAAGCACUUCAGGACCUCUGAAUUGUGCUGUCUGUUGUUUGUGAUCAGAAGGAAAUUGUUCCCCACUGACAUGAUGGUAGAGACUCAGCAUUUCAGAUGUGACUGACCACUUGAGAGCAAGAAUGCAGCUCCCAGAGGCUCGACACAAGGGCUUGAAGAGCUCGGCUGUAUUUUCUUCCACUUAAAACUGGAAGAGGUGAAUAGCUGGUGAAAGUGGGGAGGAGAUUGAUGGCUUUGGAAACUGCAAGGCCCUCUCCCUGCAUGGGACAGCUUUGGUAGAGCCAGCCAGCUUCAAGUCUGACCUUGCCCCCUCUGACCUGACAGCAACCUCAGUCCUGACCUUGGAAAGACCACCCUUCUCCUGGCAGAAGCACAGAUUAAGGAAUGAGGAAAAAAAUCAAGUAGGGCUCAGGUCAAGAUAAUUUUAUUCCACAGGAGAGGACAGUCCGUGAGGCAUGUAGAAACUGGGUGUCCUUCUCAUGCUUCGGCACUUACUCUUUGCCUCCAGACAUGGUCUGAGACUGACUGACUCAUCACAUUUGUGCUCAGAGCACCUUCUUGCCUCCUCUGCUGAGAACCCCUCUUCCCUGCACUGUGGAUGUCUUGAGAGCAGUCAGACGACAUCCCUGAUGGAAUGCUGAGCCCUUAACUCUCCAGAAGUCAUAAAAAAUCCUGAACAGGCUCUUUCCAGAUCGAAAUCUUUCAUCAGCGUGAGCCCCAAAUCCAUCUUGUAGCUCUCUCCUUCCCUCUGCAAGGAAACCUGCCCCUUCCCCAGGAUUUGCCUCCCCUCUGCUUUCCUUUUCCCACAGCCAGCCAUCCCUCACCCUCCUGUUUCUGUAAAACACUCAGCACACACAGCAGCUGGGGGGGGGAGGGACCGAGGGGCUGGUGGAAGCCACUCAGAUUUCACAUUUAUUUAAUAGCCGUGGCUGUGCUUGUUUGAUUUAUCUUCACACAUACAUUUGACAGAUAUGGUCUCAUAAAAACUCCACAGAGUAAAAACACCAAAAAGGCCUGCAGCCAUACUGUGUUAGCAUGCAGUCUGGCUCCAGCUCUGGAGCAAAGCAGAGAUCAAACUCGCUGCAGCUGGCAGCACUGCAGAAACAGAAAACUUUGGAGCCUGUAGCACCCAAAAUGCAGCA